Molecule: long non-coding RNA, 2445 nt
Organism: Eriocheir sinensis (Chinese mitten crab)
Lineage: Eukaryota; Metazoa; Arthropoda; Malacostraca; Decapoda; Varunidae
Exons: 2
Source: RefSeq, a predicted model, not a curated record
CUUCCAAGCUCUCCCUCUCUAGAUAACACUGCCUUCCAAGCUCUCCCUCUCUGGAUAACACUGCCUUCCAAGCUCUCCCUCUCUGGAUAACACUGCCUUCCAAGCUCUCCCUCUCUGGAUAACACUGCCUUCCAAGCUCUCCCUCUCUGGAUAACACUGCCUUCCAAGCUCUCCCUCUCUAGAUAACACUGCCUUCCAAGCUCUCCCUCUCUGGAUAACACUGCCUUCCAAGCUCUCCCUCUCUGGAUAACACUGCCUUCCAAGCUCUCCCUCUCUGGAUAACACUGCCUUCCAAGCUCUCCCUCUCUAUGGGUACGGCCACACUGCAUGCUGUUUGCCGGGAGGGUAGAGGGCAGCGGGAUGCCUAGCAGGUCAGAGGCAAGAACAAACACGUUAUCUAAUACGAGUGGCCAUACAGGACGCGGGUAGCGGGUAAGCUUGGAGGAAACCCGCUACCCGUGUCUGGUAUCGCCACUCGUAUUAGAUAACGUGUUUGUUCUUGCCUCUGACCUGCUAGGCAUCCCGCUACCCUCUACACUCUACCUCGUGCAGUGUGUCCGCAGCCUAAGACUCGUCAGGCACUACCAACUCGGGAAACUCAUCAACAGCUCCGUAACACUUGCUUCACCUCCAGUUUCUCUUUCUUGGUCUAUUUGCACCACACUGUUACUGGCAAAUAACUACUGUGUUGGGUGUAGCCACUAACCCUUAGAAGUGGUUCGCAGAAAGCUGGAAGUGGAUAGCAUCUGACUGAUAGUGUUGGAAUGGAUGGCAAGGGAGGGGCCCAGGGAGACCUUGUAACAUGGGGAAAGUUAUCUAAGCAAUGUUGGAAGUAGCCAUUAGGUAAUUCUCGGUAUCUGGCAUGUACUGCUGUGUGGUGGGGGUCAUGUGUCCCUCCUCGCACAGUGUAUGCCCCCAAUGACUGAUGACAAGGGAAUGGUGUUGAGAGGGAAAGCUUGUAGUCAGGGCAUAGGGAGAGAGCCAUUGACUGAUGCUGAGGGAAUGGUGUAGACAGGGACAGACCCAUUGACGCUGAGGGAAUGGUGUAGACAGGGCAUAGGUAAAGGGCAAGUUCUCAGGGCUCCAUACACGACUUUAAUACUCAGAUCACGGGACAAAAAUGCUGGAUAAUCGAGAUGAAACACAAAAAUAUCUGCACUACGGCAAUGUUUACAAGUACAGCCCUCAUGGAGACUUGUGAUGUGUUCUUCCUAUGUCCUUACAGUGAACUAUGGCUGCAUGGGUGAGGCGUGGCAGUGAGAAUGAACAUGGAUGAGGAUGGAUGGGACAGAGGAGGAGUGGGAUGUGAGGUGAUUGAGAUAAGUGUGAGAUGAUUUUGGACAUGUGCUAAGACUGUUUGGAUAUGGAAGGUUAACAGGAGUGGGUGGGAUGUGAGGUGAGUGAGGUGUGAGAUGAUUUGGACAUGUGCUAAGAUUGUGUUGGGGUAUGGAAGGUUGACAGGAAGAGUGGAUGGGUGGAUGGUAAGGCGGAUUACUGAGAUGGUCUGGACAUGUGCUGAGAUUGAAUGUGUGGCAAGUGGAAUGGAUUGUGGAAGGGUGUGGGUGGGUGGGUGGAGUGAGGUGUGAGCUCUGAGAUGAUUUGGACAUGUGCUGAGAAUGAGUGUGUGUGGAAGGGUUAGUGUGGAUCAGACAGGAAGAGGAGUGGAAUGUGGAGGGGGUGGAAGGGUAGGGUGCAGUACUGAGGUGGUUUUGGAUAUGUGCUGACAAUGAAAUGGGUGUGCGUGGAAGGGUUUAGUGUGGGUCAGACAGGGAGAGGAGUGAGAUGUGGAGGGGGCAGAAGGGUGGAUGGGUGAGGUGUGGAGCUCUGAGAUGUUUGGGAAAUGGAGUGAGAAUGGAUGUAUAUGGAAGGUUUAGUGUGGGUGUGACAAGUGGAAUGGGGUGUGGAGGGGGUGGAUGAAUGAGAUGGAUUGGACAUGUGCUAAGAAUGUGUGUGUGUGUGUGUGUGUGUGUGUGUGUGUGUGUGUGUGUGUGUGUGUGUCUCUCUCUCUCUCUCUCUCUCUCUCUCUCUCUCUCUCAGCUCACAGGACCCACAGAUGUCACCCCACAGUAUGUUUACAAACCCCACAGAUACAUGCCCCCCAGACACAUAAAGGACCCCCUCCCUCCCUCCCUCUCCGCUCAUAUGUCAAUCCAUGUAUCCCUCACCCACCCCGAUAGAUAGAUAGAUAGAGAGAGAGGCAGGGUUAUCUUUCUCAUUCCCUCUGCACAGUUGUGGGUUGCAUUCUGGGCUGUCGAGGAAUGUUUUUAAAUAGGGCAGGAAUUUAACAUUAGCAGGAGUCUCUGUUUCGUGACCCCUGUGAGUGUUAAGGGGUGACCGUACAUGUCUGGUGGUGAUAUGUAAAGGGUUCAGCUUGUUCUCUUUCACCACGGAAGAACAGUGGGAGUGUCACAGCCUCAAGACAGGGUGAGCGCAGCGAUGGGUUCC